GGGCAAUUGGUUUAGUGGUAUAAUACCCCCUUAGCAGUUCCAAAAAGGUUGCUGUAAAAACAUUGGGGGUGGUCCAGGGUUCGAUUCCCUGAUUGUCCA
The sequence is a transfer RNA, 99 nucleotides long. It matches the Rfam family "tRNA". From Rfam's summary of the family: Transfer RNA (tRNA) molecules are approximately 80 nucleotides in length. Their secondary structure includes four short double-helical elements and three loops (D, anti-codon, and T loops). Further hydrogen bonds mediate the characteristic L-shaped molecular structure. tRNAs have two regions of fundamental functional importance: the anti-codon, which is responsible for specific mRNA codon recognition, and the 3' end, to which the tRNAs corresponding amino acid is attached (by aminoacyl-tRNA synthetases). tRNAs cope with the degeneracy of the genetic code in two manners: having more than one tRNA (with a specific anti-codon) for a particular amino acid; and 'wobble' base-pairing, i.e. permitting non-standard base-pairing at the 3rd anti-codon position. The record is from Rfam.